Long non-coding RNA from Cyclopterus lumpus (lumpfish), 2307 nucleotides. The record is from Ensembl. NCBI's taxonomy places the organism in Eukaryota, Metazoa, Chordata, Actinopteri, Perciformes, Cyclopteridae.
CACAAGUACAUUUUGCCUUUUGUCUUUUUCAUGGCCAUAUUUUGUCAAUUAUUGUCAGCGCAUGUCAAUUUAGAAGGAGAGUUUUUGUUAUUUUUUAAAAUAUUCAUGUUCAUUUACUACGAGCGUAAACACCACCAGGCGUCAUAGUCGUUGUUUUAUUUGAGAUAAACUAGAAAUCUCCCACUAUUUAUCACAAAAAAGAAAGAAAACAAGAGGAGUUACCACAAUCUUGGUGCCGCAGCCAGUGAAGGGGGCGGAGGCCGUCAGGUGGGUGCUGUUGUAGCUGACGGGGCAGGCGGGGCUGUUGAGCUGCAGCUCCGCCAGGUUGACGUUGCUCAGGGAGGCGACGGGCAGCACCAGCGUAAUCGCCGUCUUCUCGCACGUCAGCACUGCGGGGUCGACGGCGUUAAAAUUGAAAGUCACUCAAAAUCUUUAAACCACUUGAAUACAAAAACAAUAUAUUUUUUUUCUCCACCUGUUCCAACAGGCAGCGUCUUCAUCUCCCCUGGAGAGAAGAGAGAGAAAGAGCACAUUUUUAUUGGUGGAAGGUCGACCCGGCGAGUGUGUGCGUUUUCUCUCAGAGGACGGCGGUCUUACUUUGGUACAGCCACACACACCGAGGCUCCGACUGCAAACUGGAAAGACAAGAAGUGCCAAUCAAAACCGGGGUCGCGUGCCAACUAUGGAUUUCUGACUGGCAGAGUCACCAGGCAGCCUCAGCGGGCAUUUCAGUCCACGGCACAACUUACCUCUCGGUAUUUGCUGCGAAGCAGACGGGCAGCAGCCGGGGCAGCCGGUUUUCGGAGCGGACCCAGGCCAUCGUCAUGGACGCCAGGUUGCCGAUGGACUUGAAACAGACCCUGAAGAGUUCAGGGGGGCCGACCACCGCCACCUCCAAAACACUGGCAACAGAGAGAGAGAGAGAGACCUUUAGUUUCCGCUCCAUACUCCCUCCAGUGUGUCCAGAAAGCCUCUAAAAGGAGGCGUCCUGAUCAGAGGCCCCCAAACCAACUGCGUUGGCCGAUUCUGUCUCUGCUCCGCGGUUUUCUCUCUUCAAAUACUCGAGCAGCGACUCACUCCCAAUCCAUAAUUUCCCUGCAGAGAACCGUGCCGUCAGACUCGGAGGUACCCGACUCUCAUCCUGACGGCUUCGCACUCGAAGGUCCAACAGAAUCACAUCAUCUGCAUACAGUCGAAAGGUCUUUCAGGGGUUCCCCCGAACCGGAUACAAUAAAGUUGUGAUUUUGAGCUAUACAAAUAAAUUGAAUUGAAAAAUGAAAGAAGGUAUAUACAAGGACGCACCUCUGCCGCUGUGAUGUGAAGUCAGUGUUGAAUUUGACCUCCUGGAAGGGCAGCAUGAACAGCGUGGUGUCCUCCUCGGGGGUCUCACCCGAUGCCACAGGCUCAUCGAGGCAGCUGGACUUCGACUCCUCCACUGAAAGGAAGGACGUCAAAAUAUUCUCUGACCAUUCUGUUAUACCCGCGAUGCAGAGUAAAACACCCGACCGACGGACUAACCGGUGAGAGAGAGGUGCACCGGGACCGAGCUGAGGGGUUUGUUGUCUGUGACUAGUCUGGAUUUGGGCACAGGAAUCCGGUCCUCCGCCAUCAGGUGGAUGAAAUACUGUCCUGCUGGCGCGUUUCCAGUGAAUGUCAACAUGCAUUUCUCCUGGGGAAAGAGUUGAGAAGAUGUAGGACAAGAAGUAACAUUAGUGGGCAGACAAACGUCUGUUUGAGAGACAUCGGGGAUGCAAAAGAUGGACGUAGAAAAUACAUAGAGCAAGACAGUUUGAACUCUUGAGCUCCGGGGGGCGCUAUAGAAUCCCUUUUGGCAACAAAAAAUAUAUUUAAGAAGUCCUUUGUCCAAAAUGCCUUUCAAAUUCUUAACUCAACAAAGUAGCUGAGUUAAUGUAUAUAUAUAUAUAUAUAUAUAUAUAUAUAUAUAUAUAUAUAUAUAAAUAUAUAAAUAUAUAUAUGUAUAUAUAUAUAUGUAUAUAAAUAUAUAAAUACAUAUAUAUAAAAGGGGCAACGCCGGAAGACUUUGGGGUGGAUUCACCCAUAUCCCUGGCAGAGGUCACUAAGGUAGUCAAAAAGCUCCUUGGUGGCAAGGCGCCAGGGGUGGAUGAGAUCCGCCCUGAGAUGCUGAAAGCGCUGGACAUUGUUGGGCUGUCUUGGUUGACACGCCUUUUCAGUGUCGCAUGGGGGUCGGGAACAGUGCCCAUGGACUGGCAGACCGGGGUGGUGGUUCCCAUCUUCAAGAAGGGGGACCGGAGAGUGUGCUCGAACUAUCGUGGUAUCACACUGCUC